AACGAACGCUGGCGGCAUGCCUAACACAUGCAAGUCGAACGAGACCUUCGGGCCUAGUGGCGCACGGGUGCUUAACGCGUGGGAACUUGCCCUUAGGUUCGGAAUAACUCCCCGAAAGGGGUGCUAAUACCGGUUAAGGUCUUCGGACCAAAGAUCUAUCGCCGUUGGAUGGGCCCGCGUUGGAUUAGCGAGUUGGUAGGGUAAAAGCCUACCAAGGCGACGAUCCAUAGCUGGUCUGAGAGGAUGAUCAGCCACACUGGGACUGAGACACGGCCCAGACUCCUACGGGAGGCAGCAGUGGGGAAUAUUGGACAAUGGGCGAAAGCCUGAUCCAGCAAUGCCGCGUGAGUGAUGAAGGCCUUAGGGUUGUAAAGCUCUUUUACCCGGGAUGAUAAUGACAGUACCGGGAGAAUAAGCACCGGCUAACUCCGUG
Molecule: ribosomal RNA, 433 nt
Filed under: uncultured bacterium
Lineage: Bacteria
Description: partial 16S ribosomal RNA
Rfam family: Bacterial small subunit ribosomal RNA
Source: RNAcentral